Molecule: ribosomal RNA, 232 nt
Filed under: uncultured bacterium
Lineage: Bacteria
Description: partial 16S ribosomal RNA
Rfam family: Bacterial small subunit ribosomal RNA
Source: RNAcentral
CGGACGGGUGAGUAAUGUCUGGGAAACUGCCUGAUGGAGGGGGAUAACUACUGGAAACGGUAGCUAAUACCGCAUAACGUCGCAAGACCAAAGAGGGGGACCCUCGGGCCUCUUGCCAUCGGAUGUGCCCAGAUGGGAUUAGCUAGUAGGUGGGGUAACGGCUCACCUAGGCGACGAUCCCUAGCUGGUCUGAGAGGAUGACCAGCCACACUGGGACUGAGACACGGCCCAG